This 1039-nucleotide long non-coding RNA is filed under the name Sinocyclocheilus anshuiensis. RNAcentral's name for it is "lncRNA (ENSSANG00000018791.1)". The record is from RNAcentral. Lineage: Eukaryota; Metazoa; Chordata; Actinopteri; Cypriniformes; Cyprinidae.
CGAGACUUGAUGUGUCUAGAAGUGCAAAUUUCAAAUCAGAUGUGUCCAGAAAGUUUUUAAAUGAACUAAUGCAAAGUGAGGACAUGGUAGAUGCCCGGAGAGAGGAGAACCCAUUUAAAAAGGAAUUUUCAAGAAGGCAAAUGGUGCUGGGAAAUUUAAAACAAAGCCGAAUAGAUUUAUGUUUAGUUAAAAAAAAAAUAUUACAUUAUGUGAAAAAUGUGAGAUAUAAGUUUAUUGGAGUAAGUGAUCAUGCUGCCAUGACAGUAAAGAUGGGGGUAAAUAUGGAAGCAAGGGGUGGAGGUAUGUGGUGUCUGAAUUCAGCUUUAUUAAAGGAAGAAGCGUACAGGAAAAGUAUUAACGGAUGCAUAAGGGGUGAAAUGGAAAAUUCAUUAUUCGAAGAGAAUGUGUGUGAGUGGUGGGAAAUGAUGAAAGGGAAAAUUAAAAAAAGAAGUAUAAGAUAUUCAAAACAGAGGAAUUUUAUGAGAAAGAGGGAAAUGGAGGGCAUGGGAAGUAUGUUGGAGAAGGAAGCAGAGAAGAUAGAAAACAACCCUGAGUAUACAAAAGAACAUUUUUUUCGGAUAAAAGCAGAAAUGGAGAUGUAUGAAAAGGAAAAGUGUGAGGGAGCAAUAGUGAGGAGCAGAGCACAGUAUGCGGUGGAGGGGGAAAGGUGCACAAAGUACUUUCUGAAUCUAGAGGAAAAAAAACAGAGAAAAAAUUAUAUUACAGAGUUGGAAAAUGAAGAAGGGGAAAAGGUAACAGAUUAUGUAGAAAUAAUAGAAGUAGUAGAAUCAUUUUAUAAGAAACUCUUCAAGAAAGAAAAUGUAAAACAAGAAUGUGUGGAUGAAGUUUUAAAUACUGUAAGUGCUAGUUUAUCUGAUGUAGAAAGAAAUAAGUGUGAAGGAGACAUGAGUAUCGAAGAAAUAAAAGAAGCAAUAAAACAAACAAUAAAGUGCUUUUGCUUUCGCACUGAAACACAGCGUCUCCCUGACAUGGCUGCAUCAACACUACUGUUGUUCCUGAAACCACGUAAGUGAUCAUG